Molecule: ribosomal RNA, 469 nt
Filed under: Pseudomonas sp. R-39154
Lineage: Bacteria; Pseudomonadati; Pseudomonadota; Gammaproteobacteria; Pseudomonadales; Pseudomonadaceae
Description: bacterial SSU rRNA
Rfam family: Bacterial small subunit ribosomal RNA
Source: RNAcentral
CUGGCUCAGAUUGAACGCUGGCGGCAGGCCUAACACAUGCAAGUCGAGCGGUAGAGAGAAGCUUGCUUCUCUUGAGAGCGGCGGACGGGUGAGUAAUGCCUAGGAAUCUGCCUGGUAGUGGGGGAUAACGCUCGGAAACGGACGCUAAUACCGCAUACGUCCUACGGGAGAAAGCAGGGGACCUUCGGGCCUUGCGCUAUCAGAUGAGCCUAGGUCGGAUUAGCUAGUUGGUGAGGUAAUGGCUCACCAAGGCGACGAUCCGUAACUGGUCUGAGAGGAUGAUCAGUCACACUGGAACUGAGACACGGUCCAGACUCCUACGGGAGGCAGCAGUGGGGAAUAUUGGACAAUGGGCGAAAGCCUGAUCCAGCCAUGCCGCGUGUGUGAAGAAGGUCUUCGGAUUGUAAAGCACUUUAAGUUGGGAGGAAGGGCAGUUACCUAAUACGUAUCUGUUUUGACGUACCGACAG